GACACUGAGCUGGGCUGUGCCGCGGUUAUGGGACUGUUGCCGUCGCCCCUUCCGAGGUUCAGAGUUCAAACUCGACGCCGCUCAAAAGAAUACUCUCGAUCCGAAACCGAUCGCGUGCUCGGUGUCGCUCAAUUCGAGCGAACGCAUCAUCGUGCUUCUGCUGCUGCGGAUCAAUCCUAACCGGCAACCAACCCACGAUAGAGUACUCUGUGAAUUCGUUUGGAUGGUACCCAUUCCGCUUUGAUUGCGGUGUUACCGGUGUAUUCAAUUGUUGUACGUGAAUGGUGCAUAAUCUGAGCUCGAGACUUUGGUUCCCGUAAUUGUAAUCGAGGCUGAAAUGGAUUCAUUGGCUUUUUUAAGGAACAAUAACCAAGAAAUAGCCUAACGAACAUGCAGUUUUUGGAAGACUGACGGCUAUUUUUUGCCUCUCUUCUUGGCUGUACUGGUCAUUCUUUUUUCUGUCGGAGUAGUAGCUGUUUUGGUCUUUAGUUCGCUAGGAGCUGCUGCGUUACGCUUUGUAUAAUAGUGCAGCCAUUCCUGCAAAUCUGAAACGUAAACUUGGAUAAGAAAGCACCGAUUACUCCUCUCCCAACCCUUUCUUUCCAUUCUUUGCACCGACCAGCUACCUUUGUUCUUGCAGUUCUUCAAUUCGAAGCAAGAGGUUUGCGUGCAGCUAUUCUGCUGUUGUGGGUUUAUAAGUUAGGUGUGCAGAUUGAUACGCUAACUUAGUCGCUACACGACAGACAACAGAACUCAGAUUAUACGCAAACUUAGUCGCUACCCGACAAACAACAAAACUCAGAAAGAAAACAUGCAUAAACUCAAGAGUAACUUAAUAGUAAAAGAAUACCCAUACAGCCUCUAAGCUUCUGAUUCUUACGAGUAAAAACAGUCCAACUUUUACAUGAGGUUCUUUCAAUACCAGACUGAAAACUAGUCGUCGGUGUAUACCCAGACGACCUAUAUGAGAUCUGGGUUCGGUCUAGUAUGUGCCACUGGGGCGUAUCGUUCAACAGUUCAACACCCCCCCUCGCCCCAGAAGCCCUAGUUGAUGCUCUUGUUGUAACUCUAGAUGCUUUAAAAAAACGUUACUUUCCUGUUCGAGGGCUUCUGAGUUUCUAUUCGCGGGAAGUUUGUGAUGUGUGUUGAUGGCGCAGUGUCGAGGCUUCUGCAUAGUUUUGUGGGCGUUGCUGAGAUUCUUCGCAAGCUCGUGUGAUUGGUUGCUGAAUCUGUUGGUGAGGAAAUUAUCUGCGGUGCCGAAGAAGAUUUCUGGUUUUUAGCCAAGUUGUAGGUUUUUAAUUAGCAUUAUUAGCCAUGUAGCAUCUGCUAGAGCUCUGUAUUUAGCUUCGGAAUAGAAUAGAGCUACUGUGGGUUGUUUAUUGGAUGACCAUGAAAUUGGUGUUGCUCCGAAGCUAAAAACAAACCCAGUUGUGGAUUGUGCUUGUUCCAUAUCACCUACCCAAUCAAAAUCUACACACAUAGUAAGGUGUGGUUGAUUGUUGGUUUGAUAUAAUAUCCUAUAGUCUUAUGAAUUUUUGAUAUAGCAUAGUAUUCUUUUUGCCAUUAAUAGGUGAUUGUUGAGGUUGCCAUAAAUCUAUUGAUCACUUUGUUGUUGAAUGUCAAGAUGAGU
Physcomitrium patens is the source of this 1630-nucleotide non-coding RNA. The record is from RefSeq and is a predicted model, not a curated record. Lineage: Eukaryota; Viridiplantae; Streptophyta; Bryopsida; Funariales; Funariaceae.